CUUUGCCUCAGUGUGUGCCCGGCGAGAGAGGAGGAGGGUGCGUUUCUCUGUCUCAAGGUUUGGUGAGGUGAAGCAGUGUCGUGAAGUCAAGCCGUGACGUCACCUUGCCGCCAUGUUGACUACCCGACUGAUAUAGAAGAGGACCAGGUUGAUGCCACAAUGCUGCACCUUCCACGCUCCUGCCAGACGCCACUCCUGCGCCAUCUUGGUAUGUGGAGGAAAGUCGUGGAAGAGGGAAGGAGGAAGAUAAAAGGAGGGAAGAUUAGCGUUCGUGUCCAGGAGAAGUAACAUUUGGCUGCGUGAGGAAGACGACGAGCGGAAGAAAACGGAAGUUACCUGGGCUGCACCGAAAACAGGUGUGUGGCAGGUAACCCCGGCUACCUCCCCUCCCCCUUGUACACGCAUAUUCUCCCUGCCGCUGGAUGUCAAUGUGCAAAGGGGAGGGAAAGGGAGGGGUAGUCGGGGUUACCUGCCACUUGCUUGGACCGGUGUAGGUAAACUGGGAGAGUAGGGGGGAGGGGGGUAUGUGAGGUCAGUAAAUUAAUGAGCGCAGUAAGGGAUAA
Molecule: long non-coding RNA, 563 nt
Organism: Eriocheir sinensis (Chinese mitten crab)
Lineage: Eukaryota; Metazoa; Arthropoda; Malacostraca; Decapoda; Varunidae
Exons: 3
Source: RefSeq, a predicted model, not a curated record